CUUACUUAGAUCAUUAAUGUUUUUUCCCUUAGUAUUCUUGAACUGUCUUAGUAUUCAGCAGGAACCCUUUGGAGGUAAAGAGCAGUAAGAAUUUGGAACACUUGUUGACAAAAUGAAUGUAAUUUAAUACAGAAGUAGAAUUGGCCACUUUUAGGUGUCGAUGCUGCUGAAAGUGUAUAUUAAGGAAAAGUUUAGUUAUCUUACUUUUUGUGUAGGUACUAGAACUACUUGUCCUGUGUUCAACAAACAUUUGUGUAGUUAUUACCUACUUGUACAAAUGCACUUUUUGACCUGAAAAUCCAAAAACUCCCCUUCUUCCCCCCACCUCUUAAGACUGCAUCCUCAAAGGAAGAGUGGGGUACUUUAAAGGAAAGGUGGUUGUGAUUGGAUAAUAGGUACAAUGUCUACUGUAUACUUCCUUUUCCCAAGACAAGUUCCUGUCUACCAUCAGCAUUUCCAAAAUUUGAAGAUCGUGUGUGAUGUUAACUCAUUAACUGAUUAUUAAGCUUUGAGCAAUUGUGGAACCCAAAUCUAAAUGAGUACCUGGAUCUUCUAAUUCUGUUAAAUCAGUGAGUGCACAUUAUAUACAAUACUCUUUUAGCCCAGUAGGAGAGUUAAAGAGUGGAAGAUAGAUUUCUAUGUUUCAGAAAUAGAAUACACAAAGAAAAAAAAAUUUAAUCCCA
Molecule: long non-coding RNA, 683 nt
Filed under: Pongo abelii (Sumatran orangutan)
Lineage: Eukaryota; Metazoa; Chordata; Mammalia; Primates; Hominidae
Description: lincRNA
Source: RNAcentral